RNAcentral lists this ribosomal RNA (38 nucleotides) under Penicillium sp. YJM-2013. RNAcentral describes it as "partial 18S ribosomal RNA". The record is from RNAcentral. Lineage: Eukaryota; Fungi; Ascomycota; Eurotiomycetes; Eurotiales; Aspergillaceae.
AAACAGGUUUUCCGUAGGUGACCUGCGGAAGGACAUUA